Molecule: non-coding RNA, 109 nt
Organism: Acanthosepion pharaonis
Lineage: Eukaryota; Metazoa; Mollusca; Cephalopoda; Sepiida; Sepiidae
Source: the annotation of a GenBank genome assembly
GCCAUAUAUCAUUGAAACACCGCUUCCCGUACGAUCACUGAAGUUAAGCAACGUCGAGUCUAGUCAGUACCAAGAUGCUUGACCACUUAAGAAAACCAAUUGCUGUAAG